AUAUCUUUUAAUUGCAUAUAUACAUAGCAUCACAAAUAAUCUGAUAAACUUGUCGAAACAUUUAUGAGUUAUGCAGUGAUGCAAUUAGCUAGUUAUCAGGAGCUCAUGUGCCAAAUUCCAACUCUAAACUGUUCUGAAGGCAACUCUGCCUUGGGGACACAACCAACGUAAUUGGUUCCGACAACCAGUGUCAUUCAAAAUAACCAGUAUGCAGAGAUUAUCUUCAGAAAACUGCACACUUCGUCGGCACGUUUUAUAUGAACACAACGCUAUUUUAAUUGUGAUUUUGCUUUUUUGUUUUAAUCAGUUCCUGUUAUAUGGUAUUAGUUGCUCCAUCUUUUUUACUCGGUUAGUUGUUAUCCUACAAGGUGUUGUGCAAGGUACACUAACGUGCUGUGAAUGCUGCCUGGAUACACUUAGUCGCUUGCUGUCGUAAUGCUGUACAGUGUCUGUCGAGGAGCAUGCCUUUGCGCUUGUUUUUUUUUUUAAAGCAAUGCUCGGUUUUUGCUUGUUGGCGCUGGAAAAACGGUGCGUAUUAACACGGAAUAGCACGGUCCUGGUAUAAGAGUGCUAUUUCUGCUCGGGUAUACGGCGAUGGUAGCCACCGUGUUCUCCCGAGAAGGGUCUGAACUGACAUCAGUGUUUGUAAUAGCGUGUCCUAAUAGCUGUGGGAAAGUUUGCUUUUGUUGUACAUGAACAGUACAUUUAAACUUCGUGUCUUCAUCUCCUGAUACUGAGUGGUGGAUGCACUGACGCUGCUAGGAAAUCCAUAUAUAGGUCUUUGGAAUGGACUUGCAGUAUAAUGUUGUGAUGUUUUGCCUCUUGUUGUGGAGACUUCAUCCAUGGAAACAUCUGCAAGGGCUUUUCCAGGAACAGGCGACCACACAGGGAAAAUGGACAGAACGACCAGGAACACAGGCAGACACACAGCCUGGCAACAGGAGCACACAGAAAGGCUACAACUAGAAAUCAAGACACACCGGCAAAGUAAGAGAAAGGCAAAAAGAGAAAAGCAAAGCCUGAGGGCGGCAACCACACACAGUCUUAAACCUGGAUCAUCCAAAGACAUGCUGUGGCUACGGGACAAAGAGCCGCCUCUCGGGCAUGGCAGCCAGAGCCAAUGUUUAGCUUCCUGAAAGACAGGCUCUGUUCCGCUACCCUCUCCAUCAGGUAGCAUCAGUCUCCGUCACACUGGCCUCAUUUCAGGGAGCACACCCCUGCACUUAACACAUUCCUCGUGUCCCUCACACAUCCAUCCCUCCUCCAGGGUUACACCCAUCCCCCUCGCCAUGGGGUCACACUGGAUAUCGCACCAUCCCCUCAUAGUGCGCGCGCGUGUGUGCGUGUGCGUGUGUUGCUUUAACCAUGGGCACGUUCCUGAUGGUUAUACAACACCAUCCCACUUCUGACAUCAUUUGUAGAAAGGCUAAGGGCAGCAACAAGAGGCGGAUCUCAAACCCAAGUGUUCCAGGCAGCCAACAUUUGCUCUGACUGCCAGACCAAAGCGCCAACAUUCUGGCACAGGAGCCGGACCACAUUUAUCUUCUUGAGUGACGGUGUCCGUCACACUUAGUGAAGCCAGCAUAUGCGCUCAAGAUGUUGCAAACUGCCAAAGCAAACAAGGGAGUCCAUAUGUGUGUGAUAAUCAGUGCCUGCAUCGAGAACAGGUGCAGGUGAUGAUGAGGGGGCGGUGCCAAGCUGAAGCUAGAACAUGACAGGACCAAUCAGGAGAAGAGGAACUGGUGUAACAUCUCCAUAUGGAGACUUUAUGACAGUAGUUAAUCAUCACUAAUGCCAUGCUUAGUAAUACCGUGCUUCUACCGAAGAAAAUAGAUAAUGUCUUAUAUAAUUUCAUAGAUAAUGUAACUGAUAAGAUAUGUUUCUCAAUUACAUUUACUGUAAAAGUAAUUUGGAAAGAAAUACAUUUAGGGUAAAGGAGGGCUUUUUUCUGGGUAGCACAGUAGCUGGUAUAUAUGGUGCUGACUGUUAAACAAACACAAGUGUUGAUGGGAAGUUUUUUGGCAAUGCAAGACACCUGCAAGGCGAGAGACCUGACGAAGAUCCCACUGGAGCUGAGAUGUUGUCAUUAUGUCUUCAUAAAGCACAGUGUCUGAGCAGAAUAUAGAGUGCGGGCUUAUUCAUUUAUUAAUGCAAGAAGUCAGUCAGCUUUUUAGCUAUUAAAUGUUAAAAUAGCAGUAGAGGUAAAACAAGAUGUGAGUGCUGGCAAUGCAUCAUAGCCUAUGGCAUAUUAUAAGGAGUCUAAUUAAGAUUUUUUCAUUUCAUGCAGGCCAAGCCGCUCUGGAUAAAAGCGUCUGCUAAUGAAUGUAAAUGUAAAGGAAAAGGUAACUAAAGGUGAAAUUCCUUGCGAGCAGUGAGGAAGUCAUGUUGGGAAGUCAUGUUGGGAAGUCAUGUUG
Electrophorus electricus (electric eel) is the source of this 2414-nucleotide non-coding RNA. Lineage: Eukaryota; Metazoa; Chordata; Actinopteri; Gymnotiformes; Gymnotidae. The record is from RefSeq and is a predicted model, not a curated record.